UCCCCUUAACGUCACGAACAGAGCGGAGUUCCCAAGCUAGUGUCCAUAGGUAGAGAUCAGCUUUAAGGCACAGUCUGGGUAACCUAGGGUUAAUCUCUUUUGAAUCAAAAACUGAUUUUGUUGAAAAUGUUGCAGCCUUUUACCACUUCACUAGCUAUAGACAGAACACUGCGUCCAGACUUUUUCUCUCCAUGAUGACCAGUUGAUAAGGGGAGUAGCCAUGAGCCUGGGGUACUUUGUCCACUUUGCAGUAGGCUUUCUGCUGGCAUCUUCAGUCCUAAUGCCAGGGGCAUCAUUUAUCAUCACAUUAGUGGUAUUUUUUUUUUAAAUACACAUUGCUGUGAAGGUGUCAGAUCCCCUGGAACAGGAGUUACAAACAGUGGUGAACUGCCAUGUAGGUACUGAGAAUUGAACCUGUGUCUUCUGGAAGAGCAGCCAGUGCUCUUAACCACCAAGCCAUCUCUCCAGCCCUCGUGGUGGUAAUGUGUGUGUGUGUGUGUGUGUUUUUAUAGUACACUUAACAACAACAACAACAAGUUAACUAUUUCUUACAACCAUGUCUUUAGAAAAGAACAAAGAAGAAUGGAGAUUAUACACAUGAACUAAGAAUAAUGAUUUGUGAGCCACCAUGUAUAGUCAAAUAAUAUUUCGUGUUUCUUUCCAAAUAACAUGACUGGCUAUCUUGCUCCUCUGUUGGCCUGGGUUCUGUGGAAACUAGACUGUUUCUGAUGUAGAUAAGAGUCAGCAGCAUAAAGGCCUUGGAUGAGUUAGAACCUUUCUGACUCACUAUUUCAUCGUCUGUGAAACCAAAGAAUAAAAACUGCCUAAUGUAGAAAAGCAAGGCAGUGAUGUAGAGGAGGGAAGUACUCUGUGAACCGCAGAGUUUUAUGAAUUCUCCAAGUUCAUAUAUUGAGAUUGUAAUAUUGAAGAUAAUCAGCACCUAAUCAUGAGAUGAUUAGGCCAUGAAACUGAAAGAGCAGACAGAUCUGCUCAGGCAGAAUGACAACGUUCAGUUACUUUUAAGAUAAUCUUUCUGUUUCUUGAUGUAAUCCCCAGAAAGGGGGCUUAAAACAUUGCAUUUCUUUCAUAAGCAGUCUCCUGUUACAAGAGGGCACUCGGGGGAUCCCCUAUCUUAUGAUGUAGGAGAAACAAUAGAAGGGUAGAAAGGCUCCAGCCCUGAGACUGUUUAUGAGCAUGCCAAAGGACUGUCUAUACUUUGGUGGUAUUGUUUUCUGAGAUCCAGCACGUUUAUGGAUAGACAGUUACUGGGCAGAGGCAUGAGAGAGCCUUCCUGGAAGAGAGAGCAGUAAUGCCCCAUCUCGAAUUGCAUGUUGGUGUACAGGUAAUGUGUACCGAAAAGCUGCAACUCCACAGCAGCAUUUGUGGUAGGGAUGCUAUGCUUUCUUCAUGUGUAUAUUGUUGGGACUCACAAAAAGGUAUCUCGAAGAGUGCGUUUUUGACAUGCUGAGUUGGAGGAGUAAUCCUAGAGAUGAUCCUUCUGAGCCCUGCCCCCCUCUAAUCCAGUGUAGGAAGGAACUUAAUCUACAUUAAAACCAGACUCACAGAAGAUCACAGCUGCCUUCCAUUGUCAUGAAGGAAGCUCAUAGUCUAUCAAAGCGCUUCCACACGGGGCGUGAACUUUGCCCCAAGAUAACAUCUCUGUUUCUGGCUCAUUCAGAUCCCUGAGAAUCAUUUUAUAAUCUCAGCUCUAUCUCCAAGCCUAUCCAUUCCCUUGACAAUCAUUUACUAUCCCUCUAAAUUGUCCCAUUUUCUCCCAGUUUUUUUUUUUUUUUUUUUUUUUUUUUUACUGUAUGGGGAAGGAUAUACAGGCAUCCAAGCCUCACUGGGUUGGUGGAGACGCACACUCCUGAGCUUUACUUGGAUGAUGAGGAGUCACGCUCACAUCUGAACCUCAUCGGCUCAGCGGCCACACAGUCCCAUGACUGCCCUCUGUGCACACAACCAAACUGCUGUCUCAUUUCUCCUGAUUGUCUAUGUGCUAUCAGUUCAUCUCAGUCAACGUUCAGAGGUCAAGGAGAGGGGGGUUCCUCUGCCUUAAUAUCAUCUGGAGAAGGAGAAAGGCUAUUAAGUUAGCUAACUAGUAACAUCUUGUGUGCCCAUUGCUUACUGUAGUCUUAAUUGAAGUUUCAACUAUUUUCCUUCAUGUGAGUUUUCUUUUUAAAGAGUUUUGUUUUGCUAAUUGCAUUGGGAAUUGAACCCAGAGCAUCACACAUUCUAGGCAAGUGUUCUACCACUGAACUAUAUCCUGAGCCCUUGUGAUUUUCAGACAGGACCUCACUACUAAGUUGCGAGGCUGGCCUUGAAGUCACUCCUAGUCCAAGCAGGUCUUGAAGUUACAACCCUCGUGCAUCAAUCUCCCAAGCGGCUGGGAUUACAAACUUGCCGCUUCAGGCCCAGCUUUUAAAAUUUUUGAUGUGAGAACGUGUGUAUGCCUGAAUAUCAAUAGCAGUGAACGUGGGGGAAUGUGGAUAACUUAUGGUGUUUUGGGUAUUAAAAAUCAGCCUUCUCUGACCUUAUUCGUUUUUCUGCAUCUGUCAUCCGUUCUCAGCACUGCUGUGGGUGUGGCCUCAAGCUAUGACUAAAUACACAGCCAGGUAUGACUGAGUCAUAGAGCAUGCCUUUAAGGAUUUGAGAUUAGGCUUUGUCUCUUUAUCUCGUCGAAUUUCUGACCUUUAGCCCAGUGCGUCUUAGAGCAGUCAGAGUGAGUCAGCAAGAGCUUACUUAAAUGCUUAGUGUAAACCAGUGGCACAUUCCCGUUGGAAGGAAACGGAUCAUUCCCGCUGCUGUGACACUUGCUUUGCCUUUAGAGAAACGUGGAGGGCCACCUAACACACACAGUAGCUAGAACAAAUGCCUUUCCUGGAUUGACAAUGUUUCCCUAAAUCGGGUACAGUGUGGCAAUAGGUACAAGUAGCAAAAAAGUAUGGCGGGACCUAGUCACCGGGCUUUGAGGCGAUCUAAUGUGAACAUGCAUGUGGAGGGCAAUGCUGACUUUCUUUCCUUUCACCGAGGUAUUCUUUAGAGUGAACUAACAGCUCCCUCCCUCUGCAGCCUCUGGUGCCUGUGUGUGCCUAUGUGUUCUGUGCUCUGACCUCAUUCGUGACAUCUUGAACGCCAUAUAGCUCCUUGGCUUUCUAAACCCACUCAAAAGCUUGCACGGCCACAGAAACACUUUCUCUUAUUAAAAUUUCCCCCCAUUAGUAGUUCUCUCAGGAUUUACGCAGACUUCGUAUUUGUCCCCAAGGAGUCUCUCUUCAUGGAUUCUCUCCCAUACAGAAGUACAUUCUCCCUAAAUGGUGAAUACUAGCUAAGUGCCAGUUGAAGUGUGUUAUGAUUAAAAAUAAAAUAUUUACUUCCAUCAGCUGUGUAAAUAUUUAACUUGCUUAAGCGUGAUUAUGAGCAUGCUCAGGCCAUUUCCUGCUUUCAGGGAACUGUCGAUAAGCUGUUCCUCUGGGCUUUCCUUUCCUAGCUAGCUCAGAUAUAGCUUCUGAGGUCCAUGACGUUAACUAAGACGUUAUAAUUGUACUUGAAACAGGAAAAACAAAGCCCACGUUUCUACAGCCAACAUGGGAUGCUCACCCCAGCCACCAAAAUUCACAGUGUUUCCCGUGGGAAGCAAUCAUUUCGAUGCAAUCCUGGUACUGUGUACCUAGUGGUUGGAUCUCACAAGUAAAGCGCUCCUAUGAGAAUGAUCUUUUGCAAUACCAAUCAGUACAGUAGGAUGUCAUCCAUCUUUCUACCAGUAAUUACAGGCCGGGGAUUCCAUCGCCAUCUCUAUGAAUUUAGUUAAUUUGCUAGCAUGGCUCAUAGAACUUGUGUUUACUGGUUUAUUGCAAAGGAUACAGAAAAGGAACCAGAUAGAAGUAUGUACGUGUGUGUGUGUGUGUGUGUGUGUGUGUGUGUGUGUGUGUUUACAGACACACAUGUGUGAAGGCUGUGCAUGCAGAGAUGCAGAGGCCGGAAGGUGAUUUCAGGUGUCUUUCUCUGUCCCUCUCCACCUUAGUUUUUGAGACAGGCUCUUUCUGGCUGAACCUAGGACUUGCUGUGCCUAACUGAACUGGCCGGUCAGUGAGCUCUGAGCGUCACCCUGCGUCUGUCCUGUUCGAAUGGCACCUCUGUGCUUGACUUUUUAUGUAAGCGCUAAGGAUCGCGCUUCAGGUCCUCAUGCCUCAGCAGCAGACCCUAUUCGCUCCUCUCUACGGCCUGUUCGGAUUUGCGUGGAGGUUUCUAUCAGCCCAGUUGAUCCAGUUAUCAGUCACUGUAAGCGCUUACCCUGCAGUGCCUCUCCUUUCCAUGGAACCGAAAGUUCCAACCGUCUAAUGACACUUAAGUCUUUCCAGUACCCACCCUUCCUCACUCUAACCACACCUGAGAGUCCUUACCCACCAUCCAUCUCACCACACAAAGGACCCCGUCACUCCGUAGAUCUCCAGAGCCUUUAGGAGCUGAAUGUCAGGAAACAAGGAGGAAGGCUGAGUACGUAUUUCGUAACAUCAUAACCACAGGUACCCAAUGUUUGUUUAUUUAUUUUUGAUACAUGAUAUGAUCAACUGAGAAGAGGUAAGUUCAGCUGAGAAAAUUCUUCCAUCAAACUGACCCAUCGGCAAGUCUGUGGGGGCAUUUUCUUGAUUAAUGAUUGCUAAUUAAUAGGUGGUCCCGGGUUAUAUGAGGAAGCAAGUUAAAAACUCAUGAUGAGGUUUCUAAGAUACUGCCAGUAAGCCGUAUCUUUCCCACAGCCUCUGUUUCAGUUCCUGCCUCCAGGUACUGCCGUGGCUUCUCUUCGUGGUGGACUCUAAACUAUUUGGUGAGUUGAUGCCCCUAUCCCCCAAGUCGCUUUGGUCUUGGUGUUUUGUCUCAGCCACACAAAGCAAGCUAAGGCGCCUGCCAGGCAGAAUGUCAUAGAGCAGCGGUUGGCGUUUACCUGGAGAAGGAGCUGCGGAGUCUUCAGAGUUAGACUGCUGGGGUAGGACCGCGGGGCUCCUCAUGAUCAGCAGUGCCAUAGCGCCACGUUCUCUCUGCCUCCGUUUCUCUGUGGGAAAAUGGGGGUGGUCAUCACGCUUACGGUAGAAAUGCUAAGGCAAAUAUUGUUAAUAAGCAUUUAAGCAUUGUUAAAUGCUAAGGCAAAUAAGGUUAAUAUACUUCGUUGAUAACACCAUAAGAAUUUCACUACCCAUUUCAUGUGUAUCUUAGGAAAAAAUAGUUUUUAUCCAUUAGUUCAAAGUUUCAUAAUAGCCUUAUUACUGAUUAAAACAUUUCCUCGGUUUAUAAUCCUCAACCAUUUGCAGCUGUAAGUGAUUUUUGAGUUACAUUCAUAUUUUACUGUAAUGAACUUUGUCAAAGUUCUGGAGUUUCUGGGAUAUCUUGAUAAUUCAGUGACGGAAAAUGUAGAACUGAGUAUCUGAAAAGCUAAGACCCCAAGUGAAAGGCACUUUGGAAGUUACAGAGAAUGACUGCUUCCUCUGAGGCUGUAAUUACAGAGUUCUUGUAACUGAGACCUUCCUGAAACACGUUUGAAUAACAUCGCAUAUUAGAAGUGGGGGUGCCGGCGGGUAGAGGACGCCGCUACAGUGAACAAAUACAUGAUGGCGAGCUGGGAAAGAUGGGAAAACGAAGCGGUACGUGUGCUGAGGCCGGGCAGAACCCGAGGCACGACAGGACAAGAUGGCAGUGAGAACCAUACUGAUCCACAGAAGCUAAACAGAAUGCCCUCUUUUCAAAUAUGAGUAAUUGUCUUCAUUCCGCAAAAGUCUGUGAGAUCUGGUCACAGCAGAACCAGCCAGCAAGUGAUUCCAGACACGGAGGCAAACUUCCUUUCUUCCACUUUCCACCAUGUAUUUCACGCACUCUGAGGGCCGGAAGGGCAAAGGCAGGGAUUAGCCUUGCCAUGGCUUUUUCCUGGUCUCUGUCUGUCCUUCCCUUGAGGACCAAUUCAGCAUCAUCUAGAGAAGGGUCAUUUGUUUGCAAGGAGAGGAAACAAACUUAAGCCGAUGGAGAGUGGCUUCUUGUCUCCAAGUAAAUUUUCCCGAAAUAAUAGCCAAGCCCCUCACAUGGGUCAUCUCCCAGAGCUGCUCCUGUCUUCUCCUGCAACUACUUCAGUACUGCUCACACACAUGCAUUCAAGUUUAUUUAAAAACGUAUGUCCAUUUGCUAUAUGAAUUUCUUUCUAAAAAUUAAAAAAAAUAAACAAAAUGAUAAAGAGAA
Long non-coding RNA from Meriones unguiculatus (Mongolian gerbil), 6222 nucleotides. RefSeq lists it as uncharacterized. Lineage: Eukaryota; Metazoa; Chordata; Mammalia; Rodentia; Muridae. The record is from RefSeq and is a predicted model, not a curated record. The transcript is spliced from 2 exons.